CGGAAGAUGUAACGGGGCUAAGUAGUAAACCGAAGCUGCGGCAAUAUACUUUUGUAUAUUGGGUAGGGGAGCGUUCUGUAAGCGGUUGAAGGUGUGUGGUAACGCAUGCUGGACGUAUCAGAAGUGCGAAUGCUGACAUGAGUAACGAUAAAGGGGGUGAAAAACCUCCUCGCCGGAAGACCAAGGGUUCCUGUCCAACGUUAAUCGGGGCAGGGUAAGUCGACCCCUAAGGCGAGGCCGAAAGGCGUAGUCGAUGGGAAACGGGUUAAUAUUCCCGUACUUCUUACAAUUGCGAUGGGGGG
Molecule: ribosomal RNA, 302 nt
Filed under: Vibrio parahaemolyticus
Lineage: Bacteria; Pseudomonadati; Pseudomonadota; Gammaproteobacteria; Vibrionales; Vibrionaceae
Description: partial 23S ribosomal RNA
Rfam family: Bacterial large subunit ribosomal RNA
Source: RNAcentral